RNAcentral lists this ribosomal RNA (426 nucleotides) under uncultured bacterium. Its description in RNAcentral is "bacterial SSU rRNA". It matches the Rfam family "Bacterial small subunit ribosomal RNA", at positions 359 to 776 of the family's 1533-position model. The record is from RNAcentral.
GAAUAUUGCGCAAUGGCCGCAAGGCUGACGCAGCGACGCCGCGUGUGGGAUGAAGGCCUUCGGGUUGUGAACCACUGUCAGGGGGGAAGAAUACUCGGCUUCGAAUAGGAGACCGAGGGUGACGGUACCCCCAGAGGAAGCACCUGCUAACUCCGUGCCAGCCGCCGCGGUAAUACGGAGGGUGCGAGCGUUGUCCGGAAUCACUGGGCGUAAAGCGCACGUAGGCGGCUACGUGAGUCACUUGUGAAAUCCCGGGGCUCAACUCCGGGCCUGCAGGUGAUACUGCGUGGCUAGAGCUCGGUAGAGGCGAGUGGAAUUCCCGGUGUAGCGGUGGAAUGCGUAGAUAUCGGGAAGAACACCAGUGGCGAAGGCGGCUCGCUGGGCCGAGGCUGACGCUGAGGUGCGAAAGCGUGGGGAGCAAACAGG